GUGCCCUUUUAGGAUUGACACAGUGCCCUAAAAGGAUAAUACAGAAGGGUAAAGUAAGUCUCCAUUAAACCUAGAGGAGAUUAUAUAAAACUGCUCUUAGAAUUAUAGCUGAGAAAAAAAA
Pteronotus mesoamericanus is the source of this 121-nucleotide small nucleolar RNA. RefSeq annotates it as small nucleolar RNA SNORA26. The transcript has a single exon. NCBI's taxonomy places the organism in Eukaryota, Metazoa, Chordata, Mammalia, Chiroptera, Mormoopidae. The record is from RefSeq and is a predicted model, not a curated record.